CAGUCGCCACGGUAAUACGGAGGGGGCUAGCGUUGCUCGGAAUUACUGGGCGUAAAGGGCGCGUAGGCGGACAGUUCAGUCGGGGGUGAAAGCCCGGGGCUCAACCUCGGAAUUGCCUUCGAUACUGGCUGUCUUGAGUAUGAGAGAGGUGUGUGGAACUCCGAGUGUAGAGGUGAAAUUCGUAGAUAUUCGGAAGAACACCAGUGGCGAAGGCGACACACUGGCUCAUUGCUGACGCUGAGGCGCGACAGCGUGGGGAGCAAACAGGAUUAGAUACCCCCGUAGUCCCUGUCUCUUAUAC
Molecule: ribosomal RNA, 301 nt
Filed under: uncultured bacterium
Lineage: Bacteria
Description: partial 16S ribosomal RNA
Rfam family: Bacterial small subunit ribosomal RNA
Source: RNAcentral